AGUGAACGCUGGCGGUAGGCCUAACACAUGCAAGUCGAACGGCAGCACAGUAAGAGCUUGCUCUUACGGGUGGCGAGUGGCGGACGGGUGAGGAAUACAUCGGAAUCUACUUUUUCGUGGGGGAUAACGUAGGGAAACUUACGCUAAUACCGCAUACGACCUACGGGGGAAAGCAGGGGAUCUUCGGACCUUGCGCGAUUGAAUGAGCCGAUGUCGGAUUAGCUAGGUGGCGGGGUAAAGGCCCACCAAGGCGACGAUCCGUAGCUGGUCUGAGAGGAUGGUCAGGCCCACUGGAAACUGGAAACCGGCCCAACACCUACGGGGGGGCACAAGGGGGAAAUUUGGGCAAUGGGGGAAAACCCUGACCCGCCCAUACGCGGGUGGUGAAAAAGGCCUCCGGGUUGAAAACCCUUUUUGUUGGGAAAAAAAAGCGUCAGUUUAAACCCCCCCUUUUUGGACGUUCCCAAAAAAAAAACCCCGGCUAACUUCCGG
Molecule: ribosomal RNA, 492 nt
Filed under: uncultured bacterium
Lineage: Bacteria
Description: partial 16S ribosomal RNA
Rfam family: Bacterial small subunit ribosomal RNA
Source: RNAcentral